UCGGGAAUUUUGGGCAAUGGGCGAAAGCCUGACCCAGCAACGCCGCGUGAAGGAUGAAGUAUUUCGGUAUGUAAACUUCGUAAGAAUAGGAAGAAUAAAUGACGGUACUAUUUGUAAGGUCCGGCUAACUACGUGCCAGCAGCCGCGGUAAUACGUAGGGACCAAGCGUUGUUCGGAUUUACUGGGCGUAAAGGGCGCGUAGGCGGCGUGGUAAGUCAUCUGUGAAAUCUCCGAGCUUAACUCGGAACGGUCAGAUGAUACUGCUGUGCUAGAGUACAGAAAGGGCAAUCGGAAUUCUUGGUGUAGCGGUGAAAUGCGUAGAUAUCAAGAGGAACACCUGAGGCGAAGGCGGGUUGCUAGGCUGAUACUGACGCUGAGGUGCGAAAGCGUGGGGAGCAAACAGGAUUAGAUACCCGAGUAGUCCCUGAGCGGGCUGGCAAGGCGCAU
This 447-nucleotide ribosomal RNA is filed under the name uncultured bacterium. RNAcentral describes it as "bacterial SSU rRNA". It matches the Rfam family "Bacterial small subunit ribosomal RNA", at positions 355 to 825 of the family's 1533-position model. The record is from RNAcentral.